This 225-nucleotide ribosomal RNA is filed under the name uncultured bacterium. RNAcentral's name for it is "partial 16S ribosomal RNA". It matches the Rfam family "Bacterial small subunit ribosomal RNA", at positions 15 to 233 of the family's 1533-position model. The record is from RNAcentral.
GAUCCUGGCUCGGGAUUAACGCUGGCGGCGUGCAUAACACAUUCAAGUCGAACGGAGAGAUACAGCCCUUGGGUAGUAUUGAUCAGUGGCGGACGGGUGAGUAACGCGUGAGUAACCUGCCUGUGAGAGGGGAAUAACAGCUGGAGACGGGUGCUAAUACCGCAUAAAGCAUAAUAAUCGCAUGAUUGAUAAUGCCAAAGAGUAGAUCGCUCACAGAUGGACUCG